Molecule: ribosomal RNA, 465 nt
Filed under: uncultured bacterium
Lineage: Bacteria
Description: partial 16S ribosomal RNA
Rfam family: Bacterial small subunit ribosomal RNA
Source: RNAcentral
GACGAACGCUGGCGGCGUGCUUAACACAUGCAAGUCGAACGGAAAGGCCCUGCUUGCCGGGUACUCGAGUGGCGAACGGGUGAGUAACACGUGGGUGAUCUGCCCUGCACUUCGGGAUAAGCCUGGGAAACUGGGUCUAAUACCGGAUAGGAGCCAUUUUUAGUGUGAUGGUUGGAAAGUUUUUUCGGUGUAGGAUGAGCUCGCGGCCUAUCAGCUUGUUGGUGGGGUAAUGGCCUACCAAGGCGGCGACGGGUAGCCGGCCUGAGAGGGUGGACGGCCACAUUGGGACUGAGAUACGGCCCAGACUCCUACGGGAGGCAGCAGUGGGGAAUAUUGCACAAUGGGCGCAAGCCUGAUGCAGCGACGCCGCGUGGGGGAUGACGGCCUUCGGGUUGUAAACUCGUUUCGCUAGGGACGAAGCUUUUUGUGACGGUACCUAGAUAAGAAGCACCGGCUAACUACGUG